UUAAGUUAGGUUUGUGAUUGAAAGUCGAUGCCAGCCGCAGGCAAAGCGAUCCACGUAAGUUAAAUAAAAUAUUUAAUGAGCAUGGUGCGGUUUAGAAGUAAGACCUGCCGUAUAAUAAUAGCGAGAGGGUUAGUAGUGAGAGGAAAAUUCUGGGUAGCAAAGGCUCCAGCAGGCGAGUGUGGGGUCAAAGAUCAGGUCAACUAGCUUAA
Clostridium tetani E88 is the source of this 209-nucleotide regulatory RNA element. It matches the Rfam family "raiA RNA". The record is from Rfam. Lineage: Bacteria; Bacillati; Bacillota; Clostridia; Eubacteriales; Clostridiaceae.